RNAcentral lists this ribosomal RNA (458 nucleotides) under uncultured Mollicutes bacterium. Its description in RNAcentral is "bacterial SSU rRNA". It matches the Rfam family "Bacterial small subunit ribosomal RNA", at positions 920 to 1382 of the family's 1533-position model. The record is from RNAcentral. Lineage: Bacteria; Bacillati; Mycoplasmatota; Mollicutes.
CCCGCACAAGCGGUGGAGUAUGUUGUUUAAUCGAAGAUACACGAAGAACCUUACCAGGUCUUGACAUACCAUUGACAGGCGCAGAGAUGUGCUCUCCUUCGGGCAAUGGAUACAGGUGGUGCAUGGUUGUCGUCAGCUCGUGCCGUGAGGUGUUGGGUUAAGUCCCGCAACGAGCGCAACCCUCAUUGUUAGUUACUACCAUUCAGUUGAGGACUCUAAUGAGACUGCCAACGAUAAGUUGGAGGAAGGUGGGGAUGACGUCAAAUCAUCAUGCCCUUUAUGACCUGGGCUACAAACGUACUACAAUGGCCAAUACAAAGAGAUGCGAAGCGGUGACGUGGAGCGAACCUCAGAAAGUUGGUCUCAGUUCAGAUUGAAGUCUGCAACUCGACUUCAUGAAGGCGGAAUCGCUAGUAAUCGCGGGUCAGCAGACCGCGGUGAAUACGUUCCCGGGUUUU